This 450-nucleotide ribosomal RNA is filed under the name uncultured bacterium. Its description in RNAcentral is "partial 16S ribosomal RNA". It matches the Rfam family "Bacterial small subunit ribosomal RNA", at positions 354 to 796 of the family's 1533-position model. The record is from RNAcentral.
GUGGGGAAUUUUGGACAAUGGGCGCAAGCCUGAUCCAGCCAUGCCGCGUGCAGGAUGAAGGCCUUCGGGUUGUAAACUGCUUUUGUACGGAACGAAAAAGCUCUCUCUAAUACAGGGGGUGAAUGACGGUACCGUAAGAAUAAGCACCGGCUAACUACGUGCCAGCAGCCGCGGUAAUACGUAGGGUGCAAGCGUUAAUCGGAAUUACUGGGCGUAAAGCGUGCGCAGGCGGUUAUGUAAGACAGAGGGGAAAUCCCCGGGCUCAACCUGGGAACUGCCUUGGGUACUGCAUAGCUGGAGUGCGGCAGAGGGGGAUGGAAUUCCGCGUGUAGCAGUGAAAUGCGUAGAUAUGCGGAGGAACACCGAUGGCGAAGGCAAUCCCCUGGGCCUGCACUGACGCUCAUGCACGAAAGCGUGGGGAGCAAACAGGAUUAGAUACCCGAGUAGUCC